Long non-coding RNA from Anguilla rostrata (American eel), 824 nucleotides. RefSeq lists it as uncharacterized. The transcript has 4 exons. The record is from RefSeq and is a predicted model, not a curated record. Lineage: Eukaryota; Metazoa; Chordata; Actinopteri; Anguilliformes; Anguillidae.
CCCGAGGCCCUAUUGGUGCUCCACAAGAGAGCACGAGAAGCACCAGGGCGGCCGGGCCUCCCGCCACCGGCGACUGCUGGGACAAGUGGUGAGUGGGCAUUACCUCCCGUCUGAAAUAUUGGAAGGUUUCAGGACCAGGGACAGCAAGCUGCAGACCAGGUGAGCUUCCAAGGAUCAGCACCAUGGACAGGGCUGCAGCAGAGUGCAGGUAUGUGGAAUUUUCCACUCUGCUGCAGCACACCUGAGACUGCUUCAGUGAUUGCCUCACAGAGUAUAUAAGGAGCAGCACAAAGGACUGAGAGACUGGCUGGGGCUAGGGAGAGAAAUUACGCCUGGCUUCUCUCCUCACCUGUUCCUAGGGCGGAGGAUCGUACUUACCCUGGAGAGGAAGACUGAUACCCCGACCGCGAAGAAAUUUAAAUAAAUUCAGUCCACAGUAUUUACUAUAAAAACCACUGAGAAUACUCCUCCCAACACAAGAGCAUCACCUGUUCGACAGAGAGGGAGAUCUGUGUGUCACAAUGGGAGCUAUUUUAGCUUUUGCAGUGUUACUGGGAACUUCAUUUUAUGGUCACUGAGUUGAACUCACACAGCCAGGCUCUAUACUUGUAAAACCAGGAGUCUCUGACCAUCUCCUGUAAAGUCUCUGGGUAUUCCCUGACUGAUAGCGGCUAUGGUACAGCCUGGAUUCAACAGCCUGAAGGGGAAGCACUGGAGUGGAUUGGAACCAUAUGGUGGGAUGAAGACAUUUCUUUUCAAGAUUCUUUGAAGAACAAAAUUUUAUUUAUAAAAUGUUAUGCUGAAUAAAUUAUUUUUGAUAUCAA